Molecule: long non-coding RNA, 283 nt
Organism: Ochotona curzoniae (black-lipped pika)
Lineage: Eukaryota; Metazoa; Chordata; Mammalia; Lagomorpha; Ochotonidae
Exons: 3
Source: RefSeq, a predicted model, not a curated record
CUUGAUCUACCAUUCUCAUUUGCACCCUCCCACCGCAGAGCUUAGAGGAACCUUCCCCACUCUUCAGGUCUACCACUCUUCAACAGACCUUCUGAAUUACAGCCCAUCCUAUAUUGUGGCAGAGGCUACAAAAAUAAUCAAAUAACAAGAUAUCAUGUCAAUUUUACUUCCGUACUGUAAAUUUUAAGGAACAGAAUGCACCUUCAGAACACAGAGAUAAAUGCCAGCUACGUACAAACCAGGAGCUUGUCCCCAGAAGCUUGAUUUUGAACUUCACUCUCCA